AAAUAAUAAGAGUGUAGUGUCUGGUUGGUGUUGCAGAAAGGCGGUUGGUCACACUCAAAUAAAUUCUGACAAUGAACCAAUUUUUUUUAAUGAGGCUAACCGAGUCUCUGUCUAUCUCAAUCGCACAGUGUACACAGAAAAUCCGAUGACAGAUGAAAGAAUCAACAUUUUUCAUUUGCCGCAAAAGUUUUUAUUUAUUUGAUAUUUUUGCUUGAAAUUUCAUAUGAUAAUAAUUUAUGUUGCAUAUAUUUUCUCCAUUCCGAAAAAUCCAACAAGAUAUAUGAAUAAAAUAAGACGGAUAGAGAACUUCAUUCAAACGGUGUACACUGUUGAUUAGGUAAACAAAUCAUAUGUUGCUGUGUGUUUAUAAUCGUCGCAUCUACCACCUAUCGCACGUCGAAAUGUCUAUGUUGGUUGUCAGUUGUUGUUCAGCAUUGUUAAAGGAACGAUGUCCAUAAAGGGAAAGAGCUUUGGUAUCGAAAUUGAGAUCCAUUCGGGAAGACGGUCAAAUUUUCGGGUUGUGUCAAAAAAAAAUAUCAAUAUAAAAUUAAACUGAUUGAAUCGAAUAAUAAUGAUGGCAAAUUACAUUUGCCGAAUAAAAAAUGCCGAAAAUUGUAAUUUUUAUCGAAAAUUCAUGAAUACUGAAAAUGAUGCGAAUUUCCAUCAAUUUAAAAAUUACAAUUGGAUAUUCGGUUUUCAUAC
Molecule: long non-coding RNA, 702 nt
Organism: Contarinia nasturtii (swede midge)
Lineage: Eukaryota; Metazoa; Arthropoda; Insecta; Diptera; Cecidomyiidae
Exons: 3
Source: RefSeq, a predicted model, not a curated record